RNAcentral lists this ribosomal RNA (405 nucleotides) under uncultured bacterium. RNAcentral describes it as "bacterial SSU rRNA". It matches the Rfam family "Bacterial small subunit ribosomal RNA", at positions 509 to 916 of the family's 1533-position model. The record is from RNAcentral.
CAGCAGCCGCGGUAAUACGGAGGAUGCAAGCGUUAUCCGGAUUCAUUGGGUUUAAAGGGUGCGUAGGCGGAUCUAUAAGUCAGGGGUGAAAUCCGGCAGCUCAACUGUCGAACUGCCUCUGAUACUGUGGGUCUUGAGUUAAGUUGAGGCAGGCGGAAUAUGACAUGUAGCGGUGAAAUGCAUAGAUAUGUCAUAGAACACCGAUAGCGAAGGCAGCCUGCCAAACUUAUACUGACGCUGAUGCACGAAAGCGUGGGUAGCGAACAGGAUUAGAUACCCUGGUAGUCCACGCCGUAAACGAUGAUCACUCGCUGCAUGCGAUAGACAGUAUGUGGCCAAGCGAAAGCGUUAAGUGAUCCACCUGGGGAAUACGAUCGCAAGGUUGAAACUCAAAGGAAUUGACGG